CAUGUACGCACCUCCAUGCUCGAUCUCGCGUGCUUCGGUACAUAAAAUAUCGCAACUUUUCGCGGAUUUUCCGAAUUGCCACCUUCGACCUCUUAACGAAAACUUCGCAAUUACCAGAGAUCCGUCCGUCGGAUUUUCGAUCCGACGACACCAUUGCGUUCAGCACGUCGGGGGCAUCAAAACUACAAUCUUAUUUCGUCAGAUUUGGUCACGGAUUCGCGACGAAACCCAUCUGCUCUCUAAUUAAUCCAUAUAUCGCACAUAUACCAAUGUGUAAACCCAUUAAACCAACUUUCGCAUUAGAAAUUGACUUCCCUAC
RNAcentral lists this long non-coding RNA (319 nucleotides) under Ananas comosus (pineapple). RNAcentral's name for it is "long non-coding RNA (ACOM_LNC030259)". Lineage: Eukaryota; Viridiplantae; Streptophyta; Magnoliopsida; Poales; Bromeliaceae. The record is from RNAcentral.